CCUACGGGAGGCAGCAGUGAGGAAUAUUGGUCAAUGGGCGCAAGCCUGACCCAGCAACGCCGCGUGAAGGAAGAAGGCCCUCGGGUUGUAAACUUCUUUUGUCAGGGACGAAACAACUGACGCUACCUGCCGACUAAGCCACGGCUAAGUACGUGCCAGCAGCCGCUGUAAUACGUAGGUGGCAAGCGUUAUCCGGAUUUACUGGGUGUAAAGGGCGUGUAGGCGGGAGAGCAAGUCAGAUGUGAAAUUCCAUGGCUCAACCCAGGAAGUGCAGUUGAAACUGUUUUUCUUGAGUGAUGGAGAGGCAGGCGGAAUUCGGGGUGUAGCGGUGAAAUGCGUAGAUAUACGGAGGAACACCAGUGGCGAAGGCGGCCUGCUGGACAUUAACUGACGCUGAGGCGCGAAAGCGGGGGGAGCAAACAGGAUUAGAUACCCCUGUAGUC
RNAcentral lists this ribosomal RNA (443 nucleotides) under uncultured bacterium. RNAcentral's name for it is "partial 16S ribosomal RNA". It matches the Rfam family "Bacterial small subunit ribosomal RNA", at positions 338 to 795 of the family's 1533-position model. The record is from RNAcentral.